Molecule: ribosomal RNA, 368 nt
Filed under: uncultured Haloquadratum sp.
Lineage: Archaea; Methanobacteriati; Methanobacteriota; Halobacteria; Halobacteriales; Haloferacaceae
Description: bacterial SSU rRNA
Rfam family: Archaeal small subunit ribosomal RNA
Source: RNAcentral
UGGCUCCCGACCUGGAAUGGUGGGAGCCCGAAACGCUCCGGCGCCGGAGGAUGAGGCUGCGGCCGAUUAGGUUGACGGUGGGGUAAUGGCCCACCGUGCCGAUAAUCGGUCUGGGUCAUGAGAGUGAGAACCCAGAGACGGAAUCUGAGACAAGAUUCCGGGCCCUACGGGGCGCAGCAGGCGCGAAACCUUUACACUGCACGCCAGUGCGAUAAGGGGACCCCAAGUGCGCAGGCAUAGUGCCUGCGCUUUUCUGGACUGUAGGGCGGUCCAGGAACAAGGGCUGGGCAAGACCGGUGCCAGCCGCCGCGGUAAUACCGGCAGCCCAAGUGAUGGCCGCUGUUAUUGGGCCUAAAGCGUCCGUAGCU